UAAAGUUUCCUGCUUCUAUCAAAAGCAGGUGGUGCGGAUGGGGUUUUAUACUCCCGCCAGGUUUCUUGUUUCCUGUAAAAGAACAAGUGGCGUGCAUGGUA
RNAcentral lists this non-coding RNA (101 nucleotides) under unclassified sequences. RNAcentral describes it as "wcaG RNA". It matches the Rfam family "wcaG RNA". The record is from RNAcentral.